UACGGAAGGUCCGGGCGUUAUCCGGAUUUAUUGGGUUUAAAGGGAGCGCAGGCUGAUGAUUAAGCGUGACGUGAAAUGUAGCCGCUCAACGGCUGAACUGCGUCGCGAACUGGUUAUCUUGAGUGAGUUCGAUGUUGGCGGAAUUCGUGGUGUAGCGGUGAAAUGCUUAGAUAUCACGAAGAACUCCGAUUGCGAAGGCAGCCAACAAGGCCUUUACUGACGCUAAAGCUCGAAGGUGCGGGUAUCGAAC
RNAcentral lists this ribosomal RNA (250 nucleotides) under uncultured prokaryote. RNAcentral's name for it is "partial 16S ribosomal RNA". It matches the Rfam family "Bacterial small subunit ribosomal RNA", at positions 524 to 773 of the family's 1533-position model. The record is from RNAcentral.